This 527-nucleotide long non-coding RNA is filed under the name Bos taurus (domestic cattle). RNAcentral's name for it is "long non-coding RNA NONBTAT026355". Lineage: Eukaryota; Metazoa; Chordata; Mammalia; Artiodactyla; Bovidae. The record is from RNAcentral.
GAGCUGGUACGACUCCUGCUCAGCAGGUAUCUCACCAAGGAGCCACUCACAAAGGCAGAAGUGCUGAAUAGUGUCCUCCAAGAUUACCAGGACUACUUCCUGGUGGUCCUCGAUCAAGCCUCAGAGUACCUGCAGCUGGUCUUUGGUUUGGAGGUGAAGGAGGUGGACCCUAGUGAGCACACCUAUCUCCUGGUCCCCACCCUGGGCCUCACCCUCAAAGAGAUGCUGAGGGAUGGGCAGAGGUUGCCCAAGGCCGGCCACAGGUGGUGAUCCUGUGCCUGAUCACUGUGGAGGACAACCACUCCCCUGCAGAGGAAAUCUGGGGAGCACUCAGCAGGAUGGGAGUGUGUCCCAGGAGGGAGCACUACAUCUAUGGGGAGCCCAAGGAGCUGCUGACCCAAGUGUGGGUGUGGGAGGUGUACCUGGAAUACCAGCAGGUAUCUGACAGCGACCCUGCUCGCUACGAGUUCCUGUGGGGUCCCCGGGCCUAUGCAGAGACCGGCAAGUUUAAAGUCCUGACGUAUCUG